Molecule: ribosomal RNA, 447 nt
Filed under: uncultured bacterium
Lineage: Bacteria
Description: partial 16S ribosomal RNA
Rfam family: Bacterial small subunit ribosomal RNA
Source: RNAcentral
AGCGAACGCUGGCGGCAGGCUUAACACAUGCAAGUCGAACGGUCCUUCGGGAUAGUGGCGGACGGGCGAGUAACACGUGGGAACGUACCCUUAGGUUCGGAACAACACAGGGAAACUUGUGCUAAUACCGGAUAAGCCCUUCGGGGGAAAGAUUUAUCGCCUUUGGAGCGGCCCGCGUCUGAUUAGCUUGUUGGUGGGGUAAUGGCUCACCAAGGCCACGAUCAGUAGAUGGUCUGAGAGGAUGGCCGGCCACACUGGGACUGAGACACGGCCCAGACUCCUACGGGAGGCAGCAGUGGGGAAUCUUGCGCAAUGGGCGAAAGCCUGACGCAGCCAUGCCGCGUGGAUGAUGAAGGUCUUAGGAUUGUAAAAUCCUUUCACCGGGGACGAUAAUGACGGUACCCGGAGAAGAAGCCCCGGCUAACUUCGUGCCAGCCGCCGCCGUAA